AGGAUAAACGCUGGCGGCGUGCCUAACACAUGCAAGUCGAACGCGCUUGCUAUCCGCAAGGGGAGCGAGCGAGUGGCGGACGGGUGAGGAACACGUGGGUGACCUACCUUUCAGUGAGGGAUACCGGCGAGAAAUCGCCGACAAGACCGCAUAGCCUCGGUGCAAGUCGAGGAAAGCUCUCUCGAGAGAGGGAGCGCCACACGAGGAGCCUGCGCCCGAUUAGCUAGCUGGUGGAGUAAUGGUUCACCAGGGCGACGAUCGGUAGCUGGUCUGAGAGGACGAUCAGCCACACUGGGAUUGAGAACGGCCCAGACUCCUACGGGGGGCAGCAGUGAGGAAUUUUCGUCAAUGGGGGCAACCCUGAACGAGCAACGCCGCGUGCAGGAGAAGGUUUUCGGAUCGUAAACUGCUUUUCGUCGGGGAAGAGAACGGACGGUACCCGAGGAAUCAGCCCGGCUAACUACGUGCCAGCAGCCGCGGU
This 481-nucleotide ribosomal RNA is filed under the name uncultured bacterium. Its description in RNAcentral is "SSU rRNA". It matches the Rfam family "Bacterial small subunit ribosomal RNA", at positions 26 to 521 of the family's 1533-position model. The record is from RNAcentral.